AGUCGAACGGUAACAGGUAAGUACUUGUACUUAUGCUGACGAGUGGCGGACGGGUGAGUAAUGCUUGGGGAUCUGGCUUAUGGAGGGGGAUAACGACGGGAAACUGUCGCUAAUACCGCGUAGAAUCGGGAGAUGAAAGUGUGGGACCUUCGGGCCACAUGCCAUAGGAUGAACCCAAGUGGGAUUAGGUAGUUGGUGGGGUAAUGGCCUACCAAGCCGACGAUCUCUAGCUGGUCUGAGAGGAUGACCAGCCACACCGGGACUGAGACACGGCCCGGACUCCUACGGGAGGCAGCAGUGGGGAAUAUUGCGCAAUGGGGGCAACCCUGACGCAGCCAUGCCGCGUGAAUGAAGAAGGCCUUCGGGUUGUAAAGUUCUUUCGGUGACGAGGAAGGUUGUUGUGUUAAUAGCGCAACAAAUUGACGUUAAUCACAGAAGAAGCACCGGCUAACUCCGUGCCAGCAGCCGCGGUAAUACGGAGGGUGCGAGCGUUAAUCGGAAUAACUGGGCGUAAAGGGCACGCAGGCGGACUUUUAAGUGAGGUGUGAAAUCCCCGGGCUUAACCUGGGAAUUGCAUUUCAGACUGGGGGUCUAGAGUACUUUAGGGAGGGGUAGAAUUCCACGUGUAGCGGUGAAAUGCGUAGAGAUGUGGAGGAAUACCGAAGGCGAAGGCAGCCCCUUGGGAAUGUACUGACGCUCAUGUGCGAAAGCGUGGGGAGCAAACAGGAUUAGAUACCCUGGUAGUCCACGCUGUAAACGCUGUCGAUUUGGGGAUUGUGCUUUGAGCUUGGUGCCCGUAGCUAACGUGAUAAAUCGACCGCCUGGGGAGUAC
Molecule: ribosomal RNA, 832 nt
Filed under: Aggregatibacter aphrophilus
Lineage: Bacteria; Pseudomonadati; Pseudomonadota; Gammaproteobacteria; Pasteurellales; Pasteurellaceae
Description: bacterial SSU rRNA
Rfam family: Bacterial small subunit ribosomal RNA
Source: RNAcentral